RNAcentral lists this ribosomal RNA (203 nucleotides) under Synechococcus sp. 157-21. RNAcentral describes it as "partial 23S ribosomal RNA". It matches the Rfam family "Bacterial large subunit ribosomal RNA", at positions 1 to 220 of the family's 2925-position model. Lineage: Bacteria; Bacillati; Cyanobacteriota; Cyanophyceae; Synechococcales; Synechococcaceae. The record is from RNAcentral.
GGUCAAGCUACAAAGAGCUCACGGCGGAUACCUUGGCACACAGAGGCGAUGAAGGACGUGGUUACCUGCGAUAAGUCUCGGGGAGCUGGAAACACGCUUUGAUCCGGGAAUUUCCGAAUGGGGCAACCCCUAGAACGGCCAGCUGAAUCCAUAGGCUGGCGCGAGCCAACCCAGCGAACUGAAACAUCUUAGAGUGAGAAGAA